AAUGCCCGUGGUCUGAAUGACAAGGCCCGUCGUGGUGGAGUCCACUCCCUUGUGCUUCAGUCUAGGUGCGCACUUCUGUGUGUCCAGGAGACGAAAAAGGCUCAGUUCUCGACUGUGGAGCUGCGGGAAACGGCGGGUUCAGAGCUCACUGGUUGCGCGGUGCUCCCUGCAGACGGCACCAGGGGCGGGGUGCUGCUGGCUUGGAACCCGUUGGUGUUCGCUGUCGACCGAGUCUCCGUCUCGGAGUUUGCCAUCACGGCGCGC
Molecule: ribosomal RNA, 264 nt
Filed under: Triticum aestivum (bread wheat)
Lineage: Eukaryota; Viridiplantae; Streptophyta; Magnoliopsida; Poales; Poaceae
Description: partial small subunit ribosomal RNA
Source: RNAcentral